UUUCACACAUACUCAACCAAUGAAGUGUCAACAUUCCACUGAAUAGCCCUCUCAGCUAUCAGCCAAUGGGCUGCCAGCACACCUGAGAGGAUGUAUGGUAUAUAAAGACCCCUUCACCUGUCCUGUACAUCAUAAAGGAAACUCCAGAGGCAACGAUGUCAGGAAGCGAGUCCUCCAGCGUCUCAUAUGAGGGCCGAGACGAUGGGCACGACAGAGUUACCUGCCAGCUGUCUCUCGAAGAACGUCAAUGUCUCAGAGAACGGAAUGGCAAUACAGAUAAGGAAAUGACACACAUGCCAGUGGAGAACACCAUUCAUUCCAUCCAAAAGUGUUCUGAGAAGGCCACAUCACAAAGACCUGAAACUGGUUUAGCAGCUGAAGAAUAUUCACAGGAAAACCCAGAGACAAGUGAAUCAAGACCAACUGAAAGUUUUGGGAUUGCUACAAAUGAGUCUUGCAAAAGGCUGGAAGAUGAAUUGGAGAAGACACAAAGAGAGUUGCAGCAGUGCAGAAAAAGACUUAAAGAAGAGCAACAAAAGGCAACACAUUACCAAAGAAAGGCUCUCAUUUAUAAAGCACACAUUUUACACAUCCGAAAGAUCUACGAUAUCCCAUCCAAAGUAAUGUGAUGCCUCAGUCUCCACUGUGUUUACUGUUUUUCAUUGAAUCUUAAUAGUAGUUAGUGAUUGGUCAAUAUUUUCUAUAUAGCUCUUUGUUCUUGUUCAGCUAGAUAUAUUUGAAAUAUACCAGCCUGUCACUCAGCUAGCAUGUUUAACAUGUCAGUAUAUGCCAUUUUGUAUUACACAAUACCUGUCCUUUUACAGACAAUUGUUUUUCACUUAUAAGGUAAUAUAGACGUA
Molecule: long non-coding RNA, 860 nt
Organism: Sardina pilchardus (European sardine)
Lineage: Eukaryota; Metazoa; Chordata; Actinopteri; Clupeiformes; Clupeidae
Exons: 3
Source: RefSeq, a predicted model, not a curated record